UGGCGGCGUGCCUAAUACAUGCAAGUCGAACGAACUCUGGUAUUGAUUGGUGCUUGCAUCAUGAUUUACAUUUGAGUGAGUGGCGAACUGGUGAGUAACACGUGGGAAACCUGCCCAGAAGCGGGGGAUAACACCUGGAAACAGAUGCUAAUACCGCAUAACAACUUGGACCGCAUGGUCCGAGUUUGAAAGAUGGCUUCGGCUAUCACUUUUGGAUGGUCCCGCGGCGUAUUAGCUAGAUGGUGAGGUAACGGCUCACCAUGGCAAUGAUACGUAGCCGACCUGAGAGGGUAAUCGGCCACAUUGGGACUGAGACACGGCCCAAACUCCUACGGGAGGCAGCAGUAGGGAAUCUUCCACAAUGGACGAAAGUCUGAUGGAGCAACGCCGCGUGAGUGAAGAAGGGUUUCGGCUCGUAAAACUCUGUUGUUAAAGAAGAACAUAUCUGAGAGUAACUGUUCAGGUAUUGACGGUAUUUAACCAGAAAGCCACGGCUAACUACGUGCCAGCAGCCGCGGUAAUACGUAGGUGGCAAGCGUUGUCCGGAUUUAUUGGGCGUAAAGCGAGCGCAGGCGGUUUUUUAAGUCUGAUGUGAAAGCCUUCGGCUCAACCGAAGAAGUGCAUCGGAAACUGGGAAACUUGAGUGCAGAAGAGGACAGUGGAACUCCAUGUGUAGCGGUGAAAUGCGUAGAUAUAUGGAAGAACACCAGUGGCGAAGGCGGCUGUCUGGUCUGUAACUGACGCUGAGGCUCGAAAGUAUGGGUAGCAAACAGGAUUAGAUACCCUGGUAGUCCAUACCGUAAACGAUGAAUGCUAAGUGUUGGAGGGUUUCCGCCCUUCAGUGCUGCAGCUAACGCAUUAAGCAUUCCGCCUGGGGAGUACGGCCGCAAGGCUGAAACUCAAAGGAAUUGACGGGGGCCCGCACAAGCGGUGGAGCAUGUGGUUUAAUUCGAAGCUACGCGAAGAACCUUACCAGGUCUUGACAUACUAUGCAAAUCUAAGAGAUUAGACGUUCCCUUCGGGGACAUGGAUACAGGUGGUGCAUGGUUGUCGUCAGCUCGUGUCGUGAGAUGUUGGGUUAAGUCCCGCAACGAGCGCAACCCUUAUUAUCAGUUGCCAGCAUUAAGUUGGGCACUCUGGUGAGACUGCCGGUGACAAACCGGAGGAAGGUGGGGAUGACGUCAAAUCAUCAUGCCCCUUAUGACCUGGGCUACACACGUGCUACAAUGGAUGGUACAACGAGUUGCGAACUCGCGAGAGUAAGCUAAUCUCUUAAAGCCAUUCUCAGUUCGGAUUGUAGGCUGCAACUCGCCUACAUGAAGUCGGAAUCGCUAGUAAUCGCGGAUC
Molecule: ribosomal RNA, 1347 nt
Filed under: Lactiplantibacillus paraplantarum
Lineage: Bacteria; Bacillati; Bacillota; Bacilli; Lactobacillales; Lactobacillaceae
Description: bacterial SSU rRNA
Rfam family: Bacterial small subunit ribosomal RNA
Source: RNAcentral